UUUAAAUAUGUAAGAAGCCCUACUUUCUUAACUGAAGGUGGGCAUGAAUGUAGAGCUUUU
This 60-nucleotide ribosomal RNA is filed under the name Metschnikowia aff. pulcherrima. Its description in RNAcentral is "fragment of 26S ribosomal RNA". The record is from RNAcentral. Lineage: Eukaryota; Fungi; Ascomycota; Pichiomycetes; Serinales; Metschnikowiaceae.